GCUCAACCUGAAAAGUAACAGUUUGGUCUUUCAAGCCCAAAGAAGACAUGCGUCAUAACAAGUCAAAGCCAAGUUUGUUCUUCCGAGCUCUGAGUCUCCAGCAUUCCGCCUGAGUAAUAGACAGGAAAGGUGUUGCCUGACUGACUGAGAACCUACAGCAUAUUUUUCGCUUAAUCUCCAAACAGAUUUAUUGCACUUCUCCCAAUCUCACAUGUGAUCUCUCUAAAUUGGAGAAACCAAAUGCUGAUUGCUUUGUAGAGUGUCUGCACUCAGUUCCCUGUGGCCAUACUGAGUUUGUUGCAUGUCAUUUUAAAUCUCAAUCCCACUGCUAUUCCAAUCUGUCUCUGCUGUUUGGGCAAUUUACAACCUUCUGGACAGAACACUGAAUUUUCCAACUUCAGAUGCUGCUUGACUGGCUUAGAUCUGUUUUUGUGAUCACCCAUGAUUUUAUUGAAAGACAGAGCAAACUCAAGGUGACAAUUGACCCAUUCCUGAUCCUGUUUCUUGUGUGCUUGUAUGCUAGCGCGUUGAAUUGAAAUAAGACAAAAUAAAGACCUAUGCGGGACAUAAAUAUCGUCUUGGAUGUGCAGCUCAUAUUUAUGCUGGAUGAAUUGCUGCAUUGUUAUUUGCCUUUAUGCAAAUAUUCAAUGACAUCAAGGAGACAGAAGCGUGUAGACAGAAGAGACUGGAAUCUGGAGAAAGAAAAAUAAACUCAUGAAGGGCACUCAACGGGGCAAACAUCCUACAAGAAGGCAAAGAGAUCGUCCAUAUUUUGGGACGAGACCCUGAAUCAAGACUGAGAUCCCUUUGCCUCCACAGAUACUGAAUUCCUCCAGCAUUUUGUUCAACGUCAUUAUUUUUGUCUCCAUCCAGACGUGAUGUAUUGUUGA
Hypanus sabinus (Atlantic stingray) is the source of this 890-nucleotide long non-coding RNA. RefSeq lists it as uncharacterized. Lineage: Eukaryota; Metazoa; Chordata; Chondrichthyes; Myliobatiformes; Dasyatidae. The transcript has 3 exons. The record is from RefSeq and is a predicted model, not a curated record.